RNAcentral lists this ribosomal RNA (201 nucleotides) under uncultured bacterium. RNAcentral describes it as "partial 16S ribosomal RNA". It matches the Rfam family "Bacterial small subunit ribosomal RNA", at positions 1300 to 1500 of the family's 1533-position model. The record is from RNAcentral.
GCAGGCUGCAACUCGCCUGCAUGAAGCUGGAAUUGCUAGUAAUCGCGGAUCAGCAAGCCGCGGUGAAUACGUUCCCGGGCCUUGUACACACCGCCCGUCACACCAUGAGAGUCGGGAACACCCGAAGUCCGUAGUCUAACCNCAAGGGGGGCGCGGCCGAAGGUGGGUCCGGUAAUUGGGGUGAAGUCGUAACAAGGUAGC